This 424-nucleotide ribosomal RNA is filed under the name Verrucomicrobiota bacterium. Its description in RNAcentral is "Verrucomicrobia bacterium partial 16S ribosomal RNA". It matches the Rfam family "Bacterial small subunit ribosomal RNA", at positions 355 to 776 of the family's 1533-position model. Lineage: Bacteria; Pseudomonadati; Verrucomicrobiota. The record is from RNAcentral.
UGAGGAAUAUUGGUCAAUGGACGCAAGUCUGAACCAGCCAAGUAGCGUGCAGGAUGACGGCCCUAUGGGUUGUAAACUGCUUUUAUAUGGGAAUAAAGUGAGGGACGUGUCCCUUAUUGCAUGUACCAUACGAAUAAGGACCGGCUAAUUCCGUGCCAGCAGCCGCGGUAAUACGGAAGGUCCAGGCGUUAUCCGGAUUUAUUGGGUUUAAAGGGAGCGUAGGCUGUUUGUUAAGCGUGUUGUGAAAUGUAAGAGCUCAACUUUUAGAUUGCAGCGCGAACUGGCAGACUUGAGUGCGCACAACGUAGGCGGAAUUCAUGGUGUAGCGGUGAAAUGCUUAGAUAUCAUGACGACCUCCGAUUGCGAAGGCAGCUUACGGGAGCGCAACUGACGCUAAAGCUCGAAGGUGCGGGUAUCGAACAGG